AUGCAGAAAUGCAGAAUCAGAGUAAUAGCCUAGGUCUCUAGCCUUCCAUGCUAAGAAUUGUGGUAUAAGUUUGUUGCUAUUGCCUUUUGCAGGUUUUCAUUUAAGUAAACUCAGAAACACUAAAAAUCACCUGCGAAGAAACCAUGAAACGUAUCGACUUAGAUGUAAGGUCCCCUGCAGGCAUCUUACUUCUAUCAAUAUAUUGGAAUAAAAAAGUUCCUACGAAAAUCACUGCAAGGAUGAAAAUGUUUAGUCUUCAGAUCAUCCCCUGGGGAGAUGACUGGGACUGGAAGCCACGAGCUUUUUAUCUUCUGGAAGAGGAGGCGGGUAGCAAGCAGAGAGACCAAGAAAUGCAAUCAGGGCAGAGGCAGAUUAUCAAUAGCAAGCUACCGAGGCAGAGAGGACAACAGAAGAACUGACAGAGACGAGAUAAAGCACUAGCUGUUUUGAACAGGGACGGAAGAAUGUGAACAUACUUUUGCAGGGCAGUGAGGGUCUAUUUUCAGCCUGCUUUUGCCAUGCUGGAAGUUUCCAUGAUGGAGAAGAAAAUAGCACUGUAGCAGAAAAUGAUUGUGACCUGCUCAACGAACCUGACCUUAGCUACAGAAUGUGCCAGCGUGAUGAGGGAAAUGAAGAAUCUUAAUGAGGCAAGAGGAAACCCGGUCAUCCUAAUGCAGUGGGCUCCUCCCAAGAGAUCAGCUAGAGAGGAGCAUUCAUUGUGUUUUGCAACUUGAUUUGAAUUCAUCCUGUCUUAUCUUUUAAAGAAAGGGCAAGAGCGUUCAUAAAUCGACACAAUCUGCUUGUAAAUCUCUUUCUUUCUCACAUUUACCCUCUGAAGAAUUAAACUGCAAGUCCUCUCAGCUAUCAUUUAGGUCUGGGGAAGCAGGGUCUGAGGAACCUGAGUGGAAGACUGGGGACAUGGCCACCAGUUGUGGCUCCCAGGAGGAGGACACAUGAACGGAUGGGUCAGUGCAGCACCCUGAUUGUCCAAGACAGAAUUACAUCCCCCAAUCUUCCUUUGUUCCCUAUCAACUGUCCUAACACAACCUGGUGAUAAAAGACAGCUGAAGAUGAAGGCUAAAGCUUCUUUUGCUGUUUUCUGUUUGCCUGCUUUCUUUUAUUUUGAAAAACCAUCUUCCACAGAGAAGUGACAAGAAUUAUUAGAUUUCAGCUGAAAGCUGGAGAUGGCUUUCCUGAAUAAUUGCAGCUUUUCAGGUUUUUAGGUUUCUGAACUUGUUGGGAUUUUUGGUUUGGUAGGCUGGAAAUUUUUGUGUAAUUUCCAACUUGAUGAGGAAAAAAAUACCAACCCAUCACUUUUCCUUCCCAAGUAUCAUUUUCUAGCUUAUGCAUUUCUAUUUCAGUCUCCCGUGUGAUCGUUUUCUUAUUUAUUAGUAAGGGACUUCAGGUUUCUCAUUCUUCUAUGACAGAAACAGGUAACUUUUAAAAAUCCCAAAUCAUAUUGUUUUAGCUGAGAACUAGAUCCUAGCACAACAGACGGAGAGUUCAGCAGCAUUGGGUUGAUGCUUCUGAGCCCAGAAGCUGAUGUGUGACGCAGGGAUAAUAAACCAGCAGAGGCUCUGCUAACA
RNAcentral lists this long non-coding RNA (1586 nucleotides) under Anas platyrhynchos platyrhynchos (common mallard). Its description in RNAcentral is "lncRNA (ENSAPLG00000018587.1)". The record is from RNAcentral. Lineage: Eukaryota; Metazoa; Chordata; Aves; Anseriformes; Anatidae.